This 141-nucleotide small nuclear RNA is filed under the name Sciurus vulgaris (Eurasian red squirrel). RNAcentral describes it as "U1 spliceosomal RNA (ENSSVLG00005021190.1)". It matches the Rfam family "U1 spliceosomal RNA". Rfam says of the family: U1 is a small nuclear RNA (snRNA) component of the spliceosome (involved in pre-mRNA splicing). Its 5' end forms complementary base pairs with the 5' splice junction, thus defining the 5' donor site of an intron. Lineage: Eukaryota; Metazoa; Chordata; Mammalia; Rodentia; Sciuridae. The record is from RNAcentral.
AUUCUUACCUGGCAGAGGAGAAACUGUUAUCAUGAAGGUGGUUUCUCCCAGGGCAAUGUUUAGCUAUCAUACUCUGGAUGAGUGGAUCCCUGCUAAUUCCCCAUGUGAAAAACUUGAAUACAAAAUGUGUGCUAUUGGCCU